AUAUAAGAGUGUCUAUAUUGAUUUAUUUUUUAUUACAGGUUUACAACUGUGCUCAUGUUGGAUACGAUCACGAAACUGAGGACUAUAAGAACGUUAAAAAAUGCAUAAACAGAGCAUACGCAGCCUGGAAAAGUGGAAACUUUUGAAUCCCAAACCAGUGUUUUUAUCACAAUAUAGUAAAAGACAGCAAAUAGCAGCUGUUGUUGUUUUUCAGUAGAAUUUCAUAAAGUAUUAUGUUACUGUUCAGAAAAUAAUAAUAAUUGGUAUGAAAUAAAGUGUAACCUCUCUUAUUAAAAUGUUGUGAGCGCUA
Limulus polyphemus (Atlantic horseshoe crab) is the source of this 310-nucleotide long non-coding RNA. RefSeq lists it as uncharacterized. The record is from RefSeq and is a predicted model, not a curated record. NCBI's taxonomy places the organism in Eukaryota, Metazoa, Arthropoda, Merostomata, Xiphosura, Limulidae. The transcript has 3 exons.